AUAAGACUGUACCACAGAAUAAAUAAUAGUACUACCGUACAGAAGGGACACUUCCUACAAAACCGAAGUUUGACAGCGAUUCAGGGACGACUCAUGCUGUCCCUUUCUAAUGUAUGGCACUAUCCCUUUCAGCUAUUUAGGGUUGUCAAAAUUCAAGGACGUCAAGUGGUGCCAACCCUAAUAAUUAUUCAAUUGCUCGGAGCAAUGCUGAGCCGAACGGAGCCGAGUUUGCCCGAAGUCAAGAGUGUCUCCCCACUGGCUAUAGUUCUUAUUGACCGCUACGUAACAAUAAGACUUCUAUUGGCUUGUUUCUUUCUGAUUUGUUAGGAGUGGCCAAUUAAUAUGUAGUGGCCAAUAACUGAGCAAUCACCCUACUAGGUCGAUAGAUACCAACAUGUCUUUGAUUUUGCUAGAUUUCAAUUCUGAGGGUAUUCCAUCUCAAUGUCAUUGCGUCUCACUCUCUCAGUAAGCAAAAUGUGAGACAAAAUUCACAUUGGACAAUGAAAUUGGACAGAUGGAAUACUACCCUAGGCGCCACAUUUGCACCAUUCCACUAUCUCGGGGUUAACCGGUUAAACCUGGAGUUACCAGUACAAUUUGACACUGGAUUAACGGUUUAACUGGUUAACCCCAGUUAGUGGGAUGGCGCAAGUGGGUCUCAGGGCCACUUGCACCAUCCCGCUAACCUGGGGUUAAAUGGUUAAACCGUUAACCCUGUGUCUAAUCGUACUGGUAACCAUGGUAACUCCAGGUGUAACUGGUUAACCCCAGUUAGCGGGAUGGCGCAAGUGGCCCUGAGACCCACUUGCACCAUCCCGCUAACCUGGGGUUAAAUGGUUAAACCGUUAAACCUAAUCGCACUGGUAACCAUGGUAACUCCAGGUUUAACUGGUUAACCCCGAGAUAGUGAAAUGGUGCAAAAGUAACUAACUGGGGAGUUAGUGGGAUGGCGCAAGUGGCCCUGAGACGCGUAGUAUCAAAAUUUUUGCCACAACUUUUACAGCUAAAGUAGAUUGCGCUAUUCUGGCAAUAUUCUGUAAUGCUAUGCUACUUUAUGUUUCUUAGUUCUAGUCUGGUACAGCGCUAAACCUGUCUCUGAGAUCAACGCAGCAAAAUGAGUUGUCGUUAGCCAUCUUGUUAGUCGUCUUGGUAGUUUGCCAUUACAUUUAAUGUAAAAAAUGAAAGUCAAUUAAAAUCUGGCAGAAGGUCAUCAUGGUCUUGACCAGGGGUUUUCAAACCCCGGCCCGCGACGCGUUUCAAUCCGGCCCGCCGACACCCAACGUCCGGCCCGCGGGAGCCAGGCUCCAGUUUAGAGACCCCUGGUCUUGACCAAACUGUGGAAUGUACUGUCGCCCUUGCGUUGGUAGCAUGGUAGGAUUUCUAUCGCCUGUCACUAUACCUGCCACUUUCGCACUUACAUAAUUGUUAGAACGGAACAAGCGAUUAAAAUGUGAUCAUGCUGACCUUCAAGGAAAGAGCGUACCCCAUCUUAAAGACCGGCUACGGACUUCAACCCCUCUGGUGUUGCAGGUAUCCAUGUGUGUCGAUAAUUGCUUACCAUCAGAUGAUUCUAAUGUUCGUUUGCCUCCAAUAUCUUUAAAAAACCGCAACAUAAUUAUUACUUACGCCAAAUGUUAAAAACCCUUUUCCAAACCGCACCAAUCUAGACGGUUUUCUUUAAAAAUCUGCAUAUACACGGUGUAACAUGAGGAAACCGAAUAAUUUUAACCACGCAUUUCUGAGGUCAAAAGAAGUAAAAAAUGUAAUAUGAGUUUAGGUCAAUUUCGCCAAAAAAAAAAUUUUUUUUUGUUUUGUUUUUUCAAUUUUUUGAAUGUAUUUGUACAUAAAAAAUAAAUGUUAUUGGUAAACUUGUCACUUAAAAUUGAUUUUUACAUUUUUUUUUUCGUAGAACCUACUUUUUGCAAAGUGUUACUUGUCACUUUUUGACAUCUAUCAAUAAGGAUAUUUAGACUACGCCCCAUAGCAGCAACAUCACCAUCAAAAAGGCCUUUUACACCAUGUAACAAUAAAAACUUGUUCUUUUUUUAAUUAAUAAUAUCUCUGAAACUAGGCGAAUUUCAAAAAAGUUUAUAUGACAUUUUUGUCUCUAAAUAUGAUCAGGAAUACGCUGUUAAAAUUAUUCGGUUUACUCAUGUUACACCGUGUAUUCCAAUUAGUUAUGUUUUUGUAAUUGAUUUGACUACGUGUAACAUUUUACGACAGUACAAUUUGAUUUGAACCUUAAAUCUGACGUCUAAGGUUGCAAUUCUAUCGACACGCAUGUGGUCAAUAAAUCGUACUAUGCCUGGAAAAAGGUUAAAGUGUCGUACUGGUCUCACUGGUCCUAGUCAAAGGCUAGUGUGAAAAACUGAUUAGGAACGUGCAAUGUUCACACGGGGUGUUUUUUAUGAAAAAAACCUAGUGGUAUAUUAGGUAUGUGAAUAAGUCAUAAUUAUUAUUUUAAUUCAACACCUGAAACCUCGGAGUAAUUAACAAUGGAGCCGCCAUUAACAGGCGUUCCCCUCUGUCGAAAAUAGGCGGCCAAUGGUCAACCACAUGUCAACCAUAUGUAUGGACUGACGUUUAUCUGACAUGACGUACCUAUACAUUUGAUGUGCCCCUCCCCCGCAAAAAACAGCAGACUAUUUUGUACCGAAAAUUUUAGACAUGGCGUCUCCAUUGUUAAUUACUCCGAGCCUGAAACAGUUCAAUUUCUCGCAGAAUUUAACCUUUUCGACGCCGUGUCAAACACAAAAGCUGUCACUCGGACGCCACGUCACCGAAGUGUCAAAACUGAAAACUAAAAUUGAACUUUAUGCAUAUGCACGUAGGUCUGACGGAUUCAUCGGUCUUUGGCGUUGGACCUACGGUGCGGAUAUAUCGGUUGUUGGCGUCCAAAAGGUUAAGCCCUAUUUAGAAUUUACAAGAACUUGCAAGCGAUUUUCUUUACAUUGUUUCAUCAACUGUUUACUUGCAAUUUCUGAGUAUUGAUUUUUUGUUUGUUAUUUGCUUAUUGUUAAAAUUCUAAACAGUUUUUGAUAAAAGAAAGAACAAAAAUUGUAACCUAAUGAUUGACACAUUCAGUGCCGAAAACCCGACUAUCGGGUAUUUUAUGAUUUCGUUCCCAGGCCUAACGACCCGAUAGUCGGGAUCGUGGUACUACUGCUGACGAAAUUGUUGUGCCCUGACGCGGACGUCUUUGGCCGGGUGGCAAUGAAUGUGUUAAUAUACCUAAAAUUAUAGGUCUCUUGAUAUAUUUUAUUUGUUGAGGUCAUAGAAUAAUGAGAGCUCUGUCAUUAUUUUCCCUAGUUUGAUUUCAAUUGGUGCUUAAGUAUUUUUCUGUUUAGGUUGAAUUAAACUGAAUGAUUUGUUAAUAA
Long non-coding RNA from Cydia fagiglandana, 3377 nucleotides. RefSeq lists it as uncharacterized. The transcript is spliced from 3 exons. The record is from RefSeq and is a predicted model, not a curated record. Lineage: Eukaryota; Metazoa; Arthropoda; Insecta; Lepidoptera; Tortricidae.